Molecule: ribosomal RNA, 497 nt
Filed under: uncultured bacterium
Lineage: Bacteria
Description: partial 16S ribosomal RNA
Rfam family: Bacterial small subunit ribosomal RNA
Source: RNAcentral
GAUGAACGCUGGCGGCGUGCCUAAUACAUGCCAGUCGAGCGAACGGACGAGAAGCUUGCUUUUCUGAUGUUAGCGGCGGACGGGUGAGUAACACGUGGAUAACCUACCUAUAAGACUGGGAUAACUUCGGGAAACCGGAGCUAAUACCUGAUAAUAUUUUGAACCGCAUGGUUCAAAAGUUAAAGACGGUCUUGCUGUCACUUAUAGAUGGAUCCGCGCUGCAUUAUCUAGUUGGUAAGGUAACGGCUUACCAAGGCAACGAUGCAUAGCCGACCUGAGAGGGUGAUCGGCCACACUGGAACUGAGACACGGUCCAGACUCCUACGGGAGGCAGCAGUAGGGAAUCUUCCGCAAUGGGCGAAAGCCUGACGGAGCAACGCCGCGUGAGUGAUGAAGGUCUUCGGAUCGUAAAACUCUGUUAUUAGGGAAGAACAUAUGUGUAAGUAACUGUGCACAUCUUGACGGUACCUAAUCAGAAAGCCACGGCUAACUACGUG